This 468-nucleotide ribosomal RNA is filed under the name uncultured bacterium. RNAcentral describes it as "partial 16S ribosomal RNA". It matches the Rfam family "Bacterial small subunit ribosomal RNA", at positions 28 to 507 of the family's 1533-position model. The record is from RNAcentral.
GACGAACGCUGGCGGCGUGCUUAACACAUGCAAGUCGAACGGAAAGGCCCUGCUUUUGUGGGGUGCUCGAGUGGCGAACGGGUGAGUAACACGUGAGUAACCUGCCCUUGACUUUGGGAUAACUUCAGGAAACGGGGGCUAAUACCGGAUAGGAGCUCCUGCUGCAUGGUGGGGGGUGGAAAUUUUCGGCGGUUGGGGAUGGACUCGCGGCUUAUCAGCUUGUUGGUGGGGUAGUGGCUUACCAAGGGUUUGACGGGUAGCCGGCCUGAGAGGGUGACCGGCCACAUUGGGACUGUGAUACGGCCCAGACUCCUACGGGAGGCAGCAGUGGGGAAUAUUGCACAAUGGGCGGAAGCCUGAUGCAGCAACGCCGCGUGCGGGAUGACGGCCUUCGGGUUGUAACCCGCUUUCGCCUGUGACGAAGCGUGAGUGACGGUAAUGGGUAAAGAAGCACCGGCUAACUACGUG